GAAAAUCAAGAGAAAUCAAGAAAUCAAGCAUUAAAAAGGUGGUGAGUCCUCCGAUAAAGGCAAGGGAAUUGCACUUGAGGACCAAUAGUCUGAGCAUUU
Non-coding RNA from Theobroma cacao (cacao), 99 nucleotides. The record is from RefSeq and is a predicted model, not a curated record. NCBI's taxonomy places the organism in Eukaryota, Viridiplantae, Streptophyta, Magnoliopsida, Malvales, Malvaceae.